UCCCUGGUGGCUCAGAUGGUAAAGAAUCUGCCUGCAAUGCAGAAGACCCAGGUUCGAUCCCUGGGUUGAGAA
This 72-nucleotide transfer RNA is filed under the name Bos taurus (domestic cattle). It matches the Rfam family "tRNA". From Rfam's summary of the family: Transfer RNA (tRNA) molecules are approximately 80 nucleotides in length. Their secondary structure includes four short double-helical elements and three loops (D, anti-codon, and T loops). Lineage: Eukaryota; Metazoa; Chordata; Mammalia; Artiodactyla; Bovidae. The record is from Rfam by way of RNAcentral.